Non-coding RNA from Macaca mulatta (Rhesus monkey), 3089 nucleotides. The record is from RefSeq and is a predicted model, not a curated record. Lineage: Eukaryota; Metazoa; Chordata; Mammalia; Primates; Cercopithecidae.
AGAGGAACGGCAUCGAUUGCUAAUAUGCUGUCUGCUUUCAACCCCCAAAGGAUUAUUUUCAGAAUGAAAUGAUCUGUGGUCUUUAAGUGGUGGGGAUGGGAGGAGCUGAAGAAUUCUUGAUCCUUCGAAGAGGUCCCAGUGGACUUGAUUUCUCAGUGGAAACAAAGGGAUUUCCUUCCUCAGUGGGAAAGAGACACCAAGUGAUAAACCGAGCACCCUCUUUGAAGAUUUCCCGGUAUAUUUGUCCCUAGAGGAGUGCGCCUCCGGGAGAUUUAUUGUUGGAAGCUUUUAGCCUCAAGCAUAAUUUUUAAAAGUAUGUAUUUCCCUAGAAACAGAGUAGCUCCAUUUAAAAGUCACAGGUGCCCCCAAGCUCUGCUCGGAAGAUUACCUCAAGUUUCAUUUCAUACCCGUCUCAGACCUGGAGGCAAAUUACUUAGUUCAUCACUCUGAAAAUGGAUUUUUUUCCCUUCUACUUCCCGUUUCCGUACCUGCCAUCUUGUGGAAAGGGACGUGCUUCCCAAGAGAUGAGAAAUGGACAGGAGUGAAGCCCGAGUCCAAGCACUGUGAUUUUUUAUCUCCCAUGAAUGUGCAGGAAUAUUUAGUCAGGGAGAUCAUCUUCCUGGAGAAAUUGGUCCAUCCUACUCCUGGAGUGCUGUGUUAGUUGUAGUUGCUCCGGUGCCAGCUCGAAGACCAGGGUCAGAGUAUAGUCGCUUAUGUGGGAGGUUAAGCCACAAAACACUGGCAGAAGAAGGGGAAAAUAAGACAAGGAUGCGAAGCAAUCAGGAAAGGGCAUGUCAUGAAGCAAGGCACUGUUCUGGGCAAUUGGAGCUUACACCUGCUGGGGAAGCCUGAGAUAGUGGGGAACAUGUGCUUCACAGUGACGCUGGUGAGGGCCGGGGGAACUGGGGUAUUAAUACACCAAUUCCAUCUGUUAUUGAUUGAGGGCUGCUUACUGGUGGUAUUGAGUCCCUGGCACUUCAGGUCAGAGAAAGCCCUUGAUCAUAGAGAACAUCAAGCCAUGGGGCCUGGAGUGCCAAGGGCUGAGUGGAUGUGGGCAAUGGCCAAUGACAAUAGCUACCAUCUGUGGAUUGAAUCUUCGGCAUCUCAUUUCUUCUAAGUCUCCUUAAUCUCUGUGCUUGGUGCUGAGGUGAAGCAAACAAUAAAGAUCCAGUGUUGUCCUUAGGAUGCUCACACUUCAGUGAGUGAGUUGAGGAAGCUAAACAGGUACAUAUCUGGGUACUGGAGAUGCAGCAGAAAAUAAGACAAGCAAAACUUCCAGAUCUCCUGGAGCUUGUAGUCUAACAGGUGAGGCAGACAAUGAACCAGAUGCUUGGCUAAAAUGUGUGUAUUUGAGAUAAUAAUAUGUUAAAGAACAAAAUGAAGGAGGGUGGCUAGUGGGGAAUUUCUCUGACUAGGAUAAGAAGAGGGUUGUAACUUCAGAUAGGUUGGCUAGGGAGGGCUGGGUUGAGACAAGUCUUCCGAGGGAAGAUUGUAAAGAACUGAGGGAACAAGUUCUGAGGUUGCCUGAGAGAGGCAACUUCCAAGUUCUUGGAAGAGCACCUGUUAGUGCUCCAAGAAGGAGCCACGGCUCAUGUCUUGGGAACAUUGUGUUCCUGGUUGGUGUGCCUGGAGUAAGUGAAGGGGCAAUGGGAGGAAGGGGGAUCCCAGUGACGCAGGUCUCAUUGGUCAUUGUGGGGAUGUUGGCUUUUAUGGCAAGUGACGUAGAGGCCAGUGGAUGAUUGUGAGUAGAGGGGUGCCUUGACGUGAGUUGCAUUCCAACAGGAUUAUUUUGGCUGCUGUGAGGAUAACAUGAUGUGGAUCAAGCAAGUAAGGAGUCCAGUGUCAUAAUACAUAGAAGCAACAUUGGUGGCUUAGAUAAGGGAGAUAGAAAUGGACAGGGUUGUUUCCCGACACAAUACUGUUCUUUUGUCUGCUUACUCUUGUUUCUCCAUUUCUAGCAAUAGUUACGAAUUCAUAAUUCCUGUUGACAUUUCCUGCACUUUCAUGAGUUUCUUGAGCCCUGUCUGUUUCCCCGGUUUCAUUAUUAUCAAACAGCUCAGCUGUGAUAGACUGCUGAUCUUCAUCUUCAUAUCGAUUAAUUUCGUUUUCACAUGCAUCACCCGCGUUUCCAGCAUCUUCUGCACAGUUUUCAGAUGAUGAGUCAUUUGCGAACGACAGAUUUUCAUUAUAGGAGUCAUCUUUGGAGCAGGAUGUGUUGGACUAGACUCAGUGCAAGUAUCCAUUUGAGUCAAGCCUGGAGCACCACCGGUUUAUAAGGAAACAUCCUCUUUGGAUCAUCUUUUCAUGGCCACCGUAGGAUUUAGAAGAAAUGCAGGACCUGAACUGAAACCAGUGUUGUCCAAUCUCAGCACUGCAGCUAGUCUGCUUGGCAACCAGAGCCCAGGCACUGUAGCCUCUGAGACUUGUACUGCAGUCAUUUAGGAAAAUCUGUCUUGAUCUGUUUGUCUCUGUCUCUGUCCCUCUCUUUCUCCUCACCAACAUUGUCUCUAUUUUAAUUUUUGAACUUUAAAAAAUGCUUUAAUUAUUACUGGUAAGUAAAAAAGUCGUGCUAAUGAGAUACACAUCUAGAAAAAGGUCACCUAGACUUUCCAAAGUGAAAAUUGACUUCAGGAAGAGCCAGCACCACCAGCUUUAAGCCCUGGACAGUGCUGCUAAGUGUAUACCUUAAAGUGGGUAGGCAUUAGCUGGGAUCAUUUGAAACACAGAUUUUGAUUCAUUAGGACUAGGGUGAGCCUGGACUUUUGCUUUUCUUAGGAGCUCCUGGUGGUGUUAAUGAGGCUGAUCUGUGGACCAUACUGAGUAGCAAGGCCCUAUAAAACUGCUACCUCAUCUCUCUCUUCCUCUGUCUCUUCAUCCUCAAUUAUAUGUUUUCCUUCAAACAUCAACAUUCAGAAUAAAUGAGAAAUCAUGUUUUAUUCAAUAUAUUUAUUUUUGUGUUUUGUUUAAAAGUGACUACAUUUUAGCUAUACUAUGAGUUAAAAAGACUUUCUGUGUGUGUAUAAGGAGGGAUAGCUUUUCCAGGAAUGAAAGUACCAUUGAGACCAUACUUUGCAUGGUCCCAGAUCUAA